UUGGGUAACACUAACUGGAGGACCGAACCGACUAAUGUUGAAAAAUUAGCGGAUGACUUGUGGCUGGGGGUGAAAGGCCAAUCAAACCGGGAGAUAGCUGGUUCUCCCCGAAAGCUAUUUAGGUAGCGCCUCGUGAAUUCAUCUCCGGGGGUAGAGCACUGUUUCGGCAAGGGGGUCAUCCCGACUUACCAACCCGAUGCAAACUGCGAAUACCGGAGAAUGUUAUCACGGGAGACACACGGCGGGUGCUAACGUCCGUCGUGAAGAGGGAAACAACCCAGACCGCCAGCUAAGGUCCCAAAGUCAUGGUUAAGUGGGAAACGAUGUGGGAAGGCCCAGACAGCCAGGAUGUUGGCUUAGAAGCAGCCAUCAUUUAAAGAAAGCGUAAUAGCUCACUGGUCGAGUCGGCCUGCGCGGAAGAUGUAACGGGGCUAAACCAUGCACCGAAGCUGCGGCAGCGACACUAUGUGUUGUUGGGUAGGGGAGCGUUCUGUAAGCCUGUGAAGGUGGCCUGUGAGGGUUGCUGGAGGUAUCAGAAGUGCGAAUGCUGACAUAAGUAACGAUAAAGCGGGUGAAAAGCCCGCUCGCCGGAAGACCAAGGGUUCCUGUCCAACGUUAAUCGGGGCAGGGUGAGUCGACCCCUAAGGCGAGGCCGAAAGGCGUAGUCGAUGGGAAACAGGUUAAUAUUCCUGUACUUGGUGUUACUGCGAAGGGGGGACGGAGAAGGCUAUGUUGGCCGGGCGACGGUUGUCCCGGUUUAAGCGUGUAGGCUGGUUUUCCAGGCAAAUCCGGAAAACCAAGGCUGAGGCGUGAUGACGAGGCACUACGGUGCUGAAGCGACAAAUGCCCUGCUUCCAGGAAAAGCCUCUAAGCAUCAGGUAACAUCAAAUCGUACCCCAAACCGACACAGGUGGUCAGGUAGAGAAUACCAAGGCGCUUGAGAGAACUCGGGUGAAGGAACUAGGCAAAAUGGUGCCGUAACUUCGGGAGAAGGCACGCUGAUAUGUAGGUGAAGCGACUUGCUCGUGGAGCUGAAAUCAGUCGAAGAUACCAGCUGGCUGCAACUGUUUAUUAAAAACACAGCACUGUGCAAACACGAAAGUGGACGUAUACGGUGUGACGCCUGCCCGGUGCCGGAAGGUUAAUUGAUGGGGUUAGCGGCAACGCGAAGCUCUUGAUCGAAGCCCCGGUAAACGGCGGCCGUAACUAUAACGGUCCUAAGGUAGCGAAAUUCCUUGUCGGGUAAGUUCCGACCUGCACGAAUGGCGUAAUGAUGGCCAGGCUGUCUCCACCCGAGACUCAGUGAAAUUGAACUCGCUGUGAAGAUGCAGUGUACCCGCGGCAAGACGGAAAGACCCCGUGAACCUUUACUAUAGCUUGACACUGAACAUUGAGCCUUGAUGUGUAGGAUAGGUGGGAGGCUUUGAAGUGUGGACGCCAGUCUGCAUGGAGCCGACCUUGAAAUACCACCCUUUAAUGUUUGAUGUUCUAACGUUGGCCCCUAAUCGGGGUUGCGGACAGUGUCUGGUGGGUAGUUUGACUGGGGCGGUCUCCUCCUAAAGAGUAACGGAGGAGCACGAAGGUUGGCUAAUCCUGGUCGGACAUCAGGAGGUUAGUGCAAUGGCAUAAGCCAGCUUGACUGCGAGCGUGACGGCGCGAGCAGGUGCGAAAGCAGGUCAUAGUGAUCCGGUGGUUCUGAAUGGAAGGGCCAUCGCUCAACGGAUAAAAGGUACUCCGGGGAUAACAGGCUGAUACCGCCCAAGAGUUCAUAUCGACGGCGGUGUUUGGCACCUCGAUGUCGGCUCAUCACAUCCUGGGGCUGAAGUAGGUCCCAAGGGUAUGGCUGUUCGCCAUUUAAAGUGGUACGCGAGCUGGGUUUAGAACGUCGUGAGACAGUUCGGUCCCUAUCUGCCGUGGGCGCUGGAGAACUGAGGGGGGCUGCUCCUAGUACGAGAGGACCGGAGUGGACGCAUCACUGGUGUUCGGGUUGUCAUGCCAAUGGCACUGCCCGGUAGCUAAAUGCGGAAGAGAUAAGUGCUGAAAGCAUCUAAGCACGAAACUUGCCCCGAGAUGAGUUCUCCCUGACUCCUUGAGAGUCCUGAAGGAACGUUGAAGACGACGACGUUGAUAGGCCGGGUGUGUAAGCGCAGCGAUGCGUUGAGCUAACCGGUACUAAUGAACCGUGAGGCUUAACCUUACAACGCCGAAG
This 2209-nucleotide ribosomal RNA is filed under the name Escherichia coli. RNAcentral describes it as "partial 23S ribosomal RNA". It matches the Rfam family "Bacterial large subunit ribosomal RNA", at positions 752 to 2925 of the family's 2925-position model. Lineage: Bacteria; Pseudomonadati; Pseudomonadota; Gammaproteobacteria; Enterobacterales; Enterobacteriaceae. The record is from RNAcentral.